Sinocyclocheilus grahami is the source of this 85-nucleotide long non-coding RNA. RefSeq lists it as uncharacterized. Lineage: Eukaryota; Metazoa; Chordata; Actinopteri; Cypriniformes; Cyprinidae. The transcript is spliced from 3 exons. The record is from RefSeq and is a predicted model, not a curated record.
ACAACAACAACAUUGGCAGAAACCACUACAUUGGCAACUACAUCAGUCACACCAGAAAUUACAACAACUGUACCUCCACCACUAC